Molecule: long non-coding RNA, 21811 nt
Organism: Bactrocera dorsalis (oriental fruit fly)
Lineage: Eukaryota; Metazoa; Arthropoda; Insecta; Diptera; Tephritidae
Exons: 3
Source: RefSeq, a predicted model, not a curated record
AAGCAUCUUUGGUCACAUCGUCCUUCUCUUCCGUCGGGGCGUGGGCGCAAAUCAGCGAUAUGUUGAAGAACCUCGCUUUGAUGCGGAUUGUGGCUAGACGUUCAUUCUCCGGAGUGAAUGAUAGUACUCGGCGACGGAGUCUCUCUCCCACCACGAAUCCAACACCAAACUUGCGCUCCUUUAUAUGGCCACUGUAGUAAAUGUCACAAGGACCUACUCGUCUCUGUCCUUGUCCCGUCCAUCGCAUUUCUUGGACGGCGGUGAUGUCAGCCUUUAUCUUUACGAGGACAUCUACCAGCUGGGCAGCGGCACCUUCCCAAUUAAGGGACCGGACAUUCCAGGUGCAUGCCCUCAAAUCAUAGUCCUUAUUUCGUUUGCCAUGGUCGUCAUCAAAAGGGGGGUCUGUCAUCCGAGGCUGUGUUUUCUUUUUCAUUGGGGGUGUUUUUUUUACGUGGCGGGUCCCAAACCCAGCGCACAACCCUAAGUAGGGGAUAUUUCGCCUUCUCACUUUAGCUCGCCUUCAAACGGAUGUUCUUAGGCUACCCAGAGGAUACUUGGUCAAAGACCGGAAGUCGUGAGCUGCUUGAGUCAUAUGUAAAAGAAUCGUUUCUGGCCACUCCCAAGUGAAUGGCGAUCAGAGAACUUUCCUCACUUGCGUGAACUUCUACACAUGACUCCAUCCUCCAAAUAACUUACAAUUUUAAAUUGGAGAUAUCUUUCGAAUAGAAUAAUUCAAAAAGUUAUGCAGUAGUUUGUUUUGAUAAAUAUUAAUUCCAAAGAUUAAAUAAAAAACUUUCAUAGCAGUGGCAUUUUUAUAUUCAUAUAUAUUUUUUUUAACUAUAAAAACACUUGUGACAAAACUAUAAUAAUUUGACAUAUGUAUGCUGUCGCGACAUUUUUUGUAGAUAAUUAUGAUCUGCAAAUGUGUAGCUUAUUAUUUGGUUCUAUAAUCAAUAGUUUGCGCAGCGCAUGCGAUUUAAGAAAGUUUUUUAAUCAUUUUUUCACAUCUUAGAUUAUGAAAAAUUCUCAAGCGUUUUUGAGAAGCGAAAAAAUAACUUUAGGGAAUGCGCGAAUAAAAUACAGCCUAAUUGCCUGUCACGAAAAUUGCGAUAAAAAAUUAAGACGCGUCCGGUCGUUUUCAAGUUCUUUAAUACAAUAAUUCAUUUGUUCCGUUCUUGGAAUUGCUUAGCCUAAAUCUUAAAACUAACGGCUUAAGCUAGUGGUAAUGUAAAUACAAGGGGUAAGUAAUUAUCUUUCGUUAAAUAUUGUAGUAGAUGAAUUAAGGUAAGUAAUAAAUGAAGGUAAUAUAAAUGUAUUAUUAAGGUAAGUAUGCUAUUUUGUACAAUUCAAUAUUUAUAAUUUCAAUUUCAUUUUUCAUUAUAAUAAUUUAAUAUUUCAUUUUCUUAUGUUUAGUUUUAGAGUUGUAAAGAUGUCGCUUGGCGCAACACCGGCCGCCUUGACAGGAUCAGGAUCCUUCAAUAUCCAUGGGCAAUAAUGCGAGUUUGUGUAUGGGGCGCUUAAUUGUGCCCGCCUUCGUUGUUACGUCUGCGACUCACACCUUGCCGUCUUGCCCUUCGACGGUUGCGACGACUCGUCCUGUUACCCACUGCUGCGGUGGUGUGUUGUCUUCGUGUACGAGGACGAGGUCGCCGGGCUGCAGAUUCCGUUUCGGUGCGCUCCUGGUGCGCUCCUGAAGACCCGUCAGGUUUGUUUUGGACCACUGUCGCCAAAACUGUUGCUUGAGACAGCAAACAAGUUGCCAUCUCUCGCAACAAUGAAUUGGGUCCAUUGCUACCUGUGCUGGUGGGAGUGAUCGCAGGGAGCACCCUAUUAAGAGAUGCGCUGGAGUUAACGCUUCGCCGUCGUUGGGGUCCUGGUUCAGAGGUGUUAGGGGCCGAGAAUUGAGAAUUGCCUCCACUUCGGCCAACAGUGUUGAUAGCUCCUCUACUGUGAGGAGCCCGUUGCCGAUUGCGCGAACGAUGAGAUGUUUGGCGGACUUCACCGCGGCCUCCCAUAAUCCGCCGAAGUUCGGCGCCCGCGGUGGUAUAAAGGUGAAGCUGAACCCUUCUUCUGCGGCGAAUACCUUCAGUUCCGUUGCCUGGACCAGAAACGCCUCUUUCAGCUCGCGCAGCCUGCGAUCGGCGCCGACGAAGUUGGUUGCGUUGUCGCUGAACAUCUUCUGGGGCAUUCCUCGGCGACCAAUGAACCUUUUUAGGGCGAAAAUAAAUGAAUUAGUUGACAAGUCUGAAACUAAUUCUAAGUGAACUGCUUUGGAAGUAAAGCAAACGAAAACUGCAAUAUAUGUUUUUACGGGUGGUCGACCGCGUAUUUUUAAAGUUGUGUAUAUCGAACCACAAAAAUCUACGCCACAUAUAAGAAAGGGACGUAGUGCUCGAAGUCUUUCGACUGGCAAAUUUCCCAUUAUUUGGUUUUGCAACUUCGGCUUGUAAUGAAAACAAUGUAUACAGUUUCUUACGGUUCUACUGCAAGCUUCUCGGGCAUUAAUUAGCCAUAUGCGUUCUCGAAGAAGCGCAACCAACGCUUUAGCCCCAACGUGGUGAUUUCGAAUGUGCAGGAACCGUAAGUACGUUGUAACGAAGUGCGAACUUUUAUUUAAUAAAAGCGGAAAUUUGGCAUCGUAUGGGAGAGGUGCAUUUAAUAAGCGACCUCCUACUCGGAAAUAUUUGAACGACAGCGACUUAUCCGAGUAUUCAUGCAAAAACGGGUUGAGUUUUUGCAAGUUUGCGGGUAGGGUGAUGCCUUUAUGCAAUUUUUGAAUAACAUCCGAAAAUUCUGAAUGUUGGACCACCUGUGCAAUUUUUAGAAAGCUCAAGUUUAACUCUUCUGAAGUCAGAUCUUGGUCUCUGGAGGAUUUUGGUGGUCGCCUGAUCCAUCGUAAUAUAUAUGCGACCACACGAAGCAAUUUUUUAUGAGAAGAAAAUUUUUCAAUAAGGUCCAAUAUUGAAUUUUUCUCAGUAGUCGAAAGUAAUGUAAAUGUAUUUUUCUUCUUCUCUAAUGCUUCGUCUUCUGGUGAGAGCUGGAAGUGGUUAUUAAUUGGCCAUAAUGCAGGGGCUUCUAGGAGGAACUGUGGACCGCCAAACCAUAUUGAAUUAUUCAAUUCAUCCACGUUAUAACCCCGAGACACUUGAUCCGCAGGAUUUUGUUUCGUUGGCACAUGUCGCCAAUGUACUUUUUCAGUCAACUCUUGGAUUUCGGACACUCUGUUUGCGACGAAGGUUUGUAGUGAAGAUGGAUGUGUUUUAAUCCAAUGUAAAACGAUUUCAGAGUCUGUCCAAAAUGUAAUAUUUUCGAAAUGUCGACUCAACAUAGGCGCUACUCUUGACCAUAAUUUCGAAAGAAGAUGUGCUGCCGAGAGCUCAAGACGCGGAAGAGAUUUGGUCUUCAGCGGAGCCACUCUAGACUUUGCAGUAAGCAGCAUGCAUUUAAUACCACUAGCAGAUUGGCUUCGUAUGUAUAUGCAGCAUCCGUACGCCCUUAUUGAGGCGUCGGAGAAGCCAUGUAUUUGGCAGAUGGCACUCGACUCAACGUUUACGUAACGAGGAAUGCUUAUAGAUGAGAGCUGCAUUAGGUUGGCUUUAAAGUUCUGCCAGCUAGUGUCAAGGCGCAAUGGAAUCGACUCAUCCCAAUCUAGUUUUUGGAUCCAAAGCUCUUGCAAUAAGAUUUUUGCUUUGGUAACUAGUGGGGCUAGUAAUCCAAGAGGAUCGAAAAGGCGAGCAGAAACUGACAAUAUGUUUCGUUUAGUGGCUCGCAGAUCAUUAAAAUUGUCAUCUAAAAUAAAUCGAAACAAAUCCUCUUUCGGCAACCAAUGGAUUCCUAACGUUUUAGUGGAACUUUUGUCAUUGAAGCUUAAUGACUUUUCAGUGCAAUCACUGUCGAAAAAUUUAGGGUGGUUCGAAAACCACUUCGUUAAGGAGAAUCCUGCCGAGUUUAAUAUUUUAAUUACCUCACUUCUCAAAAGAUCUGGAGACUCAAAACUUUCGGACCCUGUUAAUAAAUCAUCAACAUAAAAGUCUCUUUUGAUGACCAAUGAACCGAGUGGGUAUUUCAUUGUAUUGGCAUCACUGAGCAUUUGCAAACACCGUGUUGCGAGAAAUGGAGCAGGCGCAGUGCCGUAUGUUACGGUGUUGAGACGAAAAAUUUGAAUUUGCUCAGAAGGAUGCUCUCUCCACACAAUAAGCUGACAAUUUCUGUCUUCUUCAUGCAUAAUUAUUUGACGGUACAUUUUAGUAAUGUCCGCUGUUAAUGCAUACUUAUGUAAGCGAAAACGAAGAAGAGUUGAGUAUAACUCUUCUUGGAUGGUUGGACCUACCAUCAAAAGUUCAUUCAACGCUAUUUGAGUUGAAGAUCGACUCUAAGCAUCAAAUACAACACGUAGUUUGGUUGUUGUGCUCUCGGGCCUUAAAACGCAUUGAUGCGGAAUGAAGUAGUGUGGCUCACUCGGGAUUUUAUUGUUCGUUGGGCUCAUGUGACCCAAGGCUCUAUAUUCAUUCAUAAAGUCCAGAUACAUUUUGCGAAGUUCUGGAUCUUUUAAUGUCCUUCUCUCCAGGGCCUGAAACCGCCGAACUGCGGUUUCAUAUGAGUGACCGAGUAACUUACGGUCAGCUUUAAAGGGCAUUCUAACUUGAAGCCGUCCUGAAGGCAAUACUUGAGUAGUAUUAACGAAAAAGUUUUCACACUGUUGUUGCUCUGGUGUGAAUUUGAUGCCAUUUGAUUCUGAAGGUAGUUCUUCUAGCGCCCAAAAUUUUUGGACUACUGAAUCGAUUGACGUUAAGUCUUCUUCAGCUUGGCAUAAUGUGCUAUGUAAUCUGGGAGGAGAACUUAUAUUACUGGCGUAUUUGCCAGAUACAACCCACCCUAAAAGGGUUUUCUGUAAUGUUGGUUGAUUAGGACCAUUUUUAAUUUGGCCGACAGCUAGAAGUUCGAAAAAUAAUUCUGCACCCAAUUAGAUGUCAAUUUUUUUACAUUUGUGAAAUUCUGGAUCCGCCAAUUCAAUAUUGUGCGGAAUUUUCCAGCCAUUAAUAUUGAUAUUAUGGUCUGGAUGAUUUGCCGAAAUACUUCGCAUUAUCCAGAAUUCCGCCGAAAAUUCGUAAUUAUUUACCCGCGACUUAACAAACGCGCUUAAUUUUGCCCCCACUUUCGUAUUGGAAUUGCCGAUUCCUAUUACGUUUAAUGUUUUGUGUUGUCGUCGAAUCCGCAACUUCUGUGCCAAGUCUUCCGUCAUGAAGUUGACCUGGGAGCCUGAGUCCAGCAACGCUCUCGCAGGUAGGUACUCUCCACAACUGGUCCUCAUUUGAAUCCCUGCUGUUGCCAACAUGACCCGAUCCGGCAUACUGGCUGCAUGCAUGGCAUGAGUGGUUGAUGGUUGCGGAUGAGGUGCAGCGGGGAAGGAAACCGGAUACUGGUGCAAUAAUGUGUGAUGCGAUCGAUUGCACACACGACAUCUGUCCGCUCUGCACUUAGAGACAGUGUGUCCCUUACGCAAACAAUUUAUGCAUAAGGGCACCGAUUUCACGAACUCAAACCUCUGCUGCACUGGAAGCGCCUUGAAGGUGGGGCAGGCAGUCAAAUGGUGAUCCCUCGAUUUGCACUGUUGGCAAAGAGGCUGCCUCGUAUUUGCAGCAACCAGCGCCGAUUUGGUCCUGUCCAUAUGUUGUUGUUUCCCAUGAUGCGCAUUGCUUGUAGGUAUGGGCUUCGUCCUAGAGUGUGAUGCUCCUUCCGCUGAUAGCUGCUGGAAUCUUCGAUUUAGGGUGGCUUCACAUUCUUUCCACAGUGGCAGCUUGUCAUAAUCCAGCUGUUCAUCCCAUUUGGAUCUGGUAGCUGAGUCGACCUUUGUCAUCACUAUGUGUAUAAUAAUAGCGUUUGUUAUAUGUUUCUCAUCGCCCAGCGAUAGCAAUGAGUCAUACACCGCUGACACUUCGUCAAUCAUUGAUCGCAAUGAAGGCGCGGAUGGCUUUGGGAUGGUUGGCAGCUCAAAAAGUUUAGAUAUUGUAUUGAAAAAUAUCAAACAUUUAUUAUCAUAAACUUUCUUGAGACUUGCCAACGCUUUCGGAUAAUUUUCAUCCGACAUUUGAAACGCUUUAACUGUUCCCAAAGCCUCUCCAGAUAGACAAUUAACCAAAUGGUUAAAUUUUUCAAUAUCUGGGAUAUUUGGAUCAUUAUGAACCAAGCUCUCGAACAAACUCAUAAAAUUUUUGAAUUCUGAAUAUUCUCCCUUGAAUUUCGGCGAAUUCAUUUUAGGGAGCCUUGAGCUGUGAGAAGCUACAAAAGAUGUUUCGGCAAAUGAAGUUUUAUUUUUCGCUAAAAUUGACUUUAUUAUGGACUUCGUUUCAACGAUUAUGUCCUCUAACUCCCCUCGGGCCAUGUCGUCCUCAUCAAUUUCUUCAAUCUUUGAUUGGCAUUUCAUUAAUUUUUCACUAUGUGAAUUUAAUAUAUCGAGACGACAUUCCAAUUCUAUUGGAUCUAAAGACAUAGUAUUUUCGAGAAGGCCCGUUUUAAUGCGCAAAAUACUACUUUUCGCAACCGUUCUUUGACGUCUUAACGAUUUUAAGUCCGUCAACUCCUUACUUGGAGACAGGCUUGCGAGAGAUGGCUUUGGCUUGCUCAUUUUGCUUGUUUAAAUUAAAUUUCCGAAACAGGACUAUAACGGUUGGCAACAGAUAUACUAAGAAUCGAUAACGAAAACGAAAAAUAAAUGUCGAUUCCCAAAUAUACGAAAGCCAAACUAAUCGCAAUAAAAGUUCGCAACAAAUAUAUUUGGAAUCGGUGACGAAAACGAGAAAAAAAAUAAUAUCGAUUCUCAAGUAUCGAAAGCCAAACCGAUAAAUGCGCAAAAUGAGCAAUAGCACAAAAACGUAAUUUAAUCGGAAAAUGUCCGAACGAAAAUCGACAAAAAUUGCGAAAAAACGACCGAUAAUUGCAAACGCGGAUCGAAAAAAUUGCGAAAAAUAUAAUAAUUUAAUUUGCAAUUAAGAAUUUUAUCACCUUUAUUUCAAAAUAAAGGGCUACCGCAAGAUCCCAGAAUCCCUUGUUCACUUUGAAUUCGUAUAUGUAAAUCACAAUAUACGCAAUAAUAAGUAUGUAUAUGUAUGUACGAGUAUAACCAUAUACAUAUAUAUACUAAUAAUAAAAUAUAAUAUGUAUAAAGUGAAAAGGGAGAGCCAAAAACUGAAAGUGCACUUGUUUUGAUGUAGUUUGCUUUUUUUUUUGCACUGCUUUCAGUAAUUCGCACUCGUUACCUGGUGCGUCGGCUGUUUGCCGGCGCUUACGUCCCUUUGGCACAGGAUGCAGCGGCAGCUCAUUCCCACGACGGCAGCGGCGAGCAGCAGCGAGUGAUGGCAGCAGCGAUUGAUGGUAGCAGCGACUGAUGGCAGCAAUGAAUAAGGGCAGCGGCGGUUUGUUGGCAGCAGCGACUUGAUGACAGCAGCGAGUGAUGGCAGCAGCGAUUGAUGGUAGCAGCGACUGAUGGCAGCAAUGAAUAAUGGCAGCGGCGGUUUGUUGGCAGCAGCGACUUGAUGGCAGCAGCGAGUGAUGGCAGCAGCGACUUGAUGAUAGCAACGGUGGCAACGGUGGUGACAGCAACGGUUUUAAGCACAACGGUUUUAAGCUUACCGGUUUUUCCACUAAGCGACACUUUAAACAGUUUAUAAAACUGUUACACAAUUUUUUUUUUUUUUAAACUGUAAUGCAAUUAUUAUUAUUACGUUUUUAGGGCAAACCCGUGAGCUUUUAUUUGCGCCCACCACUGUACCUCAUGAAAAAUUCACCUUGCACUGUACCACCUUUUCUUCUUAUUUUUUCUUUGGUUUGGAUAUUAGGUGAAAUUGUCACACGAACAUUUAGCAACACGCACUAUGUAUUUAUAAUACUGUAUGUAAAUAUGUAUGUGCACGCACUCCACAAUAACUCCCUUUUUUGUUUUUUGCUCUUUUGGGCUGAGGUAAGUAAAUUUAUGCACUCCACUUUAGAAAUAUAUAUGUAUGUAUAAUUAUUAUUAUUUUUUGUUUUUCAUGUAGUAUGUAUGUUUAACUUAUGCUUUCUCACUUAGCCUUUUUUAUAUGUAUUUUUUGCCACUGUGUUUAACACUUUUCACAUCACUUCUUCUCUUUAUUAUCACUUUAGUUUUGUGUUUUAUGUUUUAUAAUUAUUUUUCCUUCUUUGUGUUUCAGGUAUCACUGCACUUGAUCACUUUUAGUAUACAUAUGUACCAAUUAUAUGUAUGUAUGUGUACUUUUCUUUUGGUAUCUUUUUUAUUUCUUUAAAUGACAUGUACUUGUACUCGUAUAUUUGUUUUAGGUGUUGUUUUUUCUUUUUUAUGUUUAAUUUAUUUCCACUUCACUUUCACGAAGGGCCGAAAACGAACGAAUUGACAGGCAAUUAGCACGAAAUUAGUUUAUUAAACGAAAACGAAAGUCAAAAUUAAUAUAUACUAAGCUCAUGCACUUAGUCCCUGCUCGGGCGCCAUGAAAAAUUCUCAAGCGUUUUUGAGAAGCGAAAAAAUAACUUUAGGGAAUGCGCGAAUAAAAUACAGCCUAAUUGCCUGUCACGAAAAUUGCGAUAAAAAAUUAAGACGCGUCCGGUCGUUUUCAAGUUCUUUAAUACAAUAAUUCAUUUGUUCCGUUCUUGGAAUUGCUUAGCCUAAAUCUUAAAACUAACGGCUUAAGCUAGUGGUAAUGUAAAUACAAGGGGUAAGUAAUUAUCUUUCGUUAAAUAUUGUAGUAGAUGAAUUAAGGUAAGUAAUAAAUGAAGGUAAUAUAAAUGUAUUAUUAAGGUAAGUAUGCUAUUUUGUACAAUUCAAUAUUUAUAAUUUCAAUUUCAUUUUUCAUUAUAAUAAUUUAAUAUUUCAUUUUCUUAUGUUUAGUUUUAGAGUUGUAAAGAUGUCGCUUGGCGCAACAGAUUACAUUAUUGGAGUUUUAGUAUAGAUCACUAGCUUUUUUGAAAAUACCACAGGUAGUGUAGCUUCUCAACAGCGAGAGAAUUUUUCAAAUCAACAAGUAGUUCCUGAUUUCACACAUUUUGCCAUUAAACUGUUGUAAAUUCAAUUCCGUUUACAUUCAUUAUAUUCGGAAUACUUACAAGUACAUAUCGUCACCUGAAAUGCAAAAUAACGUAUCAUCAAAAAAAUCGAAAUUGAGUGUCUUAUUGAUUACUCUUCACUACUUCAAAUUAUAUACAUAAUAUUAAAUAUGUUCAACAUUUUCUGGUUCUGCGGUCAUAUAUAAACCAGUUUUAACCAAUAUUAAUAUUUUGUUUCACUCAUGUUCCAUUUUAUUCCGUGUUUCAUUCAUGCCACUGUAAAUUUCUGAAAAUGUUGUUACGUUAUUUUGCAUUUCAGGUGACGAUAUGUACAUAUUACGCGCAAAGUUUAUUUUCUUUGUUUAUUCUCCCUUGCUCUUUUAAUGUGGAUCAUUCACAAUGCGUAACCAGCUGUCAAAAUUACUUGAAGAAAUAAUGUAUUUUUUUUUCUUGAGCUUACUUGAAAGUUGGAUACGGACCUAUACAUACUACAUACGAGCACAAGAAAACUCGCGAUUCUUAAUUCUUGACGAUAAAUUUAUUAAAACGUGAUUCUCUAAUUAUACCAUCUGUGACGAGUGUUCUCAUUUCGUUAUUAAUGAACGGCGCAACUAUAACCGGAUAUGGAUAGCUUUUGUAAUAAAUUGGGUAAUUUUUUUGAGUACAUUGCUGUUAAAUGGUAGUGCUAUACAAGUAUUUGGGUCAGCAAAUGCAUUUAUGUGUGCAUUAAUCACAUCGCGAAAUUGAGUUUUAAUGCAAAAUGGAGCGGAGUCUUCUUCUGUUGUAAUCAAAUUGCUUUGAUUGCAUAAGAGGUGCGUUAGUUUCUCUUUAACGUUACGGUAAAAUAAGUAAUAAUUUUCGGUAUCAACAUUUGCUUCAAUUUCUCUAAGAAAGUCGUAUCCAAUGAUAGCAUCAAAUGUACUUAAGUUGGGAAGUAAGUAAAAUGUUGAGGUAUAAUCGAGAAUAUCGCGAAAUUGAGUUUUAAUGCAAAAUGGAGCGGAGUCUUCUUCUGUUGUAAUCAAAUUGCUUUGAUUAUCGUGUCCAAUGAUACCAUCAAAUGUACUUAAGUUGGGAAGUAAGUACAAUGUUGAGGUAUAAUCGAAAAUAUUCAUCAGGCAUUUUUUACUUAUUAAAUUUAUCCCAUUGAUAGACUUUAACUUCAAGGGUUUACCGAUACUCUUGAUGCAGAAACGAAAAAUUUCUAACAUAGUACUUAGAAGUUCCGGUGUCGAUUAAAAGCCGUAGCUCCUGACUACUUUUGGAUGUUUUGGUUAUAAACGACAGGAGCGACUUUAGUUUAAAUAAUUAAUUUCUUCAACUUGUUUCGUAUCGCUAUCAACUUGAUUACAGUUAUUAGUUUCAUCAUCAAGAUUUUAUCGGAGCGUCAACCAGCCGAGGUGUCGUAAAACGAACAAAUGUCCUUAAAGCCUCGGAAGUGAAAUCAAUGUGUGGUAUACGAGUAUUGUAAAAAUAAUAAAAAUGUAUUUCCUUUGCGGAUUAAUUUUAAAAUCGAAAAUGUGUCGUACACAUAAAGUGCCAGUAGCGGUAGGUAAAAUUGGUGGCCCCGGUAAAACUGUUCAAAUAGAUGAGAGCAAAUUUGGAAAGAGGAAAUACAACAAAGGGUGGAGAGUCGAAGGCCACUGAGUUCUUGGGAUGGUUGAGGAUGGGAGGGACGACCUUAGACUGAAGGUAUGUCCCGGCAAUGUGUGGUCUGCUGAGGUGCUCAUACCUUUGAUAGAGAAGCACGUGAUAAAAGGUAGUAUUAUAUGUACUGAUUGUUGGAAGGCAUACGACUGUCUGUCCAGUCACGGGUAUGAGCACCGACGGGUUAAUUACAAGAAAAUUAUAAUAAUGUGAAGAAUUUUAUAAUUUAAUUUUUGAGUAUAUUUGGAGGAAGAAUAUUGCAAAUAAUCGUUAUGAUCCCUUUGUUAAAUUAUUAUAUGCAAUUAAACAUACUUAUAUGUAAGCCCUAAAACCUUUUUUUUAUUACAAUGGAAAUUUUAUUUCAGAUAGUAUUUGUUUCCUGUGUUUGAGUUUCUUUUAUUCAUUUUUAUUCGUUUGAUAUAUAUGUAAUUAUGGCAACACUUAUUAUCUGUCAACACAGAAUAAUUUUGUUAUUGUGCACAUGCCUAAAAUUUGUGUAAAAUAUAGAAUGGUUAAAAUGUGAUUUUUGUGAUAAUCGGUCAAAAGCGUCCUUCGAAUGUUUGAUUCUGAGCAAUUUAAGAUCGUCAGUCAAUUUAUGCGGAACAAACCCUGCACACGCCUUUCAUAAGCCCAAAUCUUCGGUCAAAAUUCGAUGGAACUUCCGGUGAUCCGGGAUUUUGAUUGACCCUCUGCUACGGGAUAGGCAAUCAGCGCCAUAAUCUUGUUUCAUCAAUUGAAACGUUUUACCAAUUUUAAAACAAAAUUUAAUGUUGGCUCUUUGUUCGAAGCGUAUUCUCGCACCGAUAACACAAACUUCCAAUCUAUGAAAUAUCAUAAAAUUCUCACUGAACAAUUGAUAAGGAUAGCAGACGCACCAGUCUGCAUAUAGAUGGCGUCACCAGGGGACGCUAGAUUCAAAAAGUCCUCUUUACUUUGGAAAGCACCUUGAAUAUGUAUAAUGAACAGCGUAUUGCUAUUGAUAAAGUUAUUCGUGAAGUUCAAUACAGGAUCAAAAGGUAUGUACGGAUAGAGGAGGGCCUCCACAUCAAAAAAAAAAAAUAUAUAUAUGUAUGUAUUAUAUUAUAUCGAGGAAGAAGAUGACAUGGGUUUCGGUCUCUUCGACUAAACAACUCAACACUAAAGUUCUAUGUAUAUACAUAUACAUAUAUGUAGUUGCCGCUGACUUAUGGUUUUUGAGAUAUUUGUAUUUAAAGUUAAAAAAAUCAACUAUUUAAAAUGCGUGUUUCUCUUAUUUAUAAUGCAUUUUACACUAAUAUUUUUAAAUUUUAUAUAUACUAACACUUUACUAAUUCGGUUCUACACAUUUGUUUUGUAUUAAAUAGUGCAAAAAUAAAAUACCAUAUUUAACUUUCGUUGAAAUCCAUGCAUCCAUAAAAUAGGGGUAUUCUCUUGCUCUUGCAAAACCCUUGCACGGCGCACGAAUUGCAGAUUUUUCCACCUAAUGCAACGGCACAACAACAAACACACGCAGAAAAAUAUUUGCAAGGACUGUAAAAUAUGUCAGGCCACAAUGAUUAUUUUCGUGCAAUGACACGUAAAAAAAUAAUUGCAACCCCGUGCUAGCUGUCAUUUUACUUAAAUACAUAUUUUGACCUUAAAUUGUUAAGGAAGGUAAAUUUUAAAUAGAUUUUAUAAUUUCUUUUUAAAUUAUAAAGAUUUGUUGCAGUUCUUUUGUUAAGAAUGAACUAUUUGAUGAAAAAUAAAUUGGUGAAAUUUUAGUCUAGAUAAAAGUUAAUAAUAUAAGUGGAAAAUUCAUUGUAAAUAGGAGAAACAUGCAUUUUAAAUGCAUGUAGUUGAAUUUAUGACCUUUAAAUGCAAAAAUCUUAAAAACCAUAAGUCAGAAGGAACUAUAAAUAUACAUAUUUUUUUCUAAUUCUGAAUGACCUCCUCUAUCCGUACAUACAUACGCAUUUUAAGGUCCGUUUCCAGCUCUCAAGUAAAUAGUCAAGAAAAAAAUUCCUUAUUUCUUGAGCUAUAGUCAAGUAGUUUUGGCAGCAGGUUUUGCAUUGUGAAUGAUACACAUUAGAAGAGCAAGAGAAAAUAAACAAAGAAAAUAUACUUAUGUGUGUAAGUAUAUAAAUGUUUUCAUUGCGAUUUAAGGAAUGUGGUUGAUGAUUGGUAAGUUUUAUACAACAAUUCGAAAUGAACUUUUGUUGACGCCGCCCCCGCCCAAUUUCUUUUGCCACGUCUGUAUCGGCAGAGCAAUCUCUUCUUCGAAGUUUUUCGAGCGCAACUAAACGUUAACUAAAAAAGUUGCGCGCUCUUCUUUUGCGACAGCCCUGCGGUUCAGACGUGGUAAGUGUGUUUCCAAUUUGUUGUAUUAAAAUUAUAUAUAUUAUAUGAAACCUUUUGUUUUAUUUAAUAUUUGUGGAAUCAUUUGCGCCGACCGACCAACCACAAUUACGGAACGAGCCACACCGUGCUCCACCACCCGAAUUAUCAUUGGUCCUUCGAGCCGGAUAAAAAUUAACAAGUUGUUUUUUAUUUAAAGUGAAAGUGCAUAAUUUACCCAAUUUAACAACAUGCAAGUUACAGCCAAACAUAUUUUGGAUUUGUGCGCUGCAAGCUAUAAGGCAAUAGAUUGGUUAAUUUGUGCAUAAUUAAUGUACAAAACCCAUUGUGCUGUGUGAAGUGGAGAACAAAACUUAUUUUUGGCACUCUACCCACAAAAUUAACGCACAAGACUGCAAGUAGUAUUGUACUUAUUUUAAGUACAACAAUAAAUACACCUAGCAAAUGCACUGAUUACUUUGCAUAACAAAAAACACACACAGACUGUUAUUCGAACAAAUUUAUAAAUUUCUUGGACGCACAAACAUCGCCUGGAGCGUCAAAAAUCUCUCUCGGGUUCUUGUUUUUUCUUGUGGUUAAUUUGAGUCUAGUCGCUCAACUCUGCCUUUCCAUAUAUUGCUCGAAUAGCAUUAAAGGCAAGCAGCAAUAACGCAGCUGCAGUUUCGCUAGUGCAAAAAAAAAAAAUACAAAAUUACAAGUGAAGUGAGUGACGAAAAAUUAGAAAAGUGAAGUGAGCGACGGCAAAACAGCAAAGGGAGAGAAGCAAAGGCAAAGCAGCGCAGCAGCCAUCCCAGAAGGACAGCAAGAAACAAAAGAGUACAGUGGUGAAAUCGAUAUAGUUCGAAAAUAACCCCGUGAACAAUGUGAAAGUGAUUAGUUGAUUAAUCAAAUAAGUGGAUGUGAAUUUUUUAUUUGUGUUUGCAUUUAAAUAAAGCAACUAAGCACAAAUCAAUUUUGUUUGUGUACAUAGUUGAAGACUAAGGCAUUGGGCCGAUUACCCAGCAAGCACGUUCAAAUUAAAUUUGGGAAAAAUUCUUUGAGAAAAUACUUCACUAAAUUUAUUAAUUUUUUGUUCUCUCGAAAUUUCACGCUUCAUAAAGAAAUAACGCACUGCCUAUCAUCAACUCAAUUGUAGUUUGUCCGUGAUUGGUGCCCUUAACUUUUGAAAUUUUCGCAACAUAUUUGCAAAUAUUUUUUAAAUUUUAAUUUCAAAAGUUUUAGAUCCGAUUUUGUGCAACUUUUUGCAGUUCCGGUUCAAUUUUCGAACACAAUGGAAUCCAUCAGAGCAUUUAUCACAGCUGCAGACGCUCUACUGGAGCUUGAGAUGUCAUUUACUCCAACCGCAAACCACCAAAGUGCCUCCUCUCUUGAAGUACGAGUACAACAAACUGAACUGAAAUCUCUGUGGGCAGAGAAGUCAGAAUACAAGUUGUGUUUGCCAAAGGUGAAUCCUUCCGACACAAGCUCAAUUGACGACAUUAAGCUUAAAUAUACAAGCUGUUACCACGCUUAUGUGUGUAGCGCGGCCUUGAUGGGCGAACAUAUGCACAACCGCACGGCGUUCAACCAAAGACCAACUUCAAAUUCAACAGUGAUUCAACCUGAACGGUUAUAACAAACGGUAGAACCCGUGAGGUAUCCCAUCAACUUACCGCCAUGUGAUACCGAAAUAUUUCAUGGCGAUGUUUUACAAUGGCCCUCAUUUAGGGAUUUAUUUGCCGCCAUUUAUGGGAAUAACCCAGCGUAAUCUCCAGUGGAAAAGUUAUUCCAUCUAAAUCAAAAAACGCGAGGUGAGGCAAAAGCUAUCGUUUCCAAAGCGCCACUGACGAAUGACGGAUUCGCAUUGGCUUGGAAUAAUUUGUUGUGUAGGUAUGAAAACUAGCGAGUGCUUGUCAAUACACAAUUAAAUGUAUUGUUCAAGUUUCCGAACAUUUCAACAGAAUCUGAGAAUUAUUAUCUGAGCUUUAUAAAUACAUGGCAUCAAUGUAGAUAGCUGGGAUGCCAUUUUUACGUGUUUGUGUUCUAUCCGACUACCGUACUAUACACUGUCGCUUUGGGAACAGUCUCUGGAUUCGGAUUCAGAGAUCCCAAAAUGGGUUAAGUUAGACAAGUUUCUAACCAAACGGGUUAAAACGCAGGAAAGAGUAUCAAGCCUCAAAGGCGAGUUGGGUACUCAACCCAAAAUGGCUGAUGGUGAAGGUCGGAUACCAACCUUGCAGUCAAGGAUUGGAUCCAAGCCCAUCAAUUCCCAUCACACCAAGACAAACAGUACUAAAUGUAAACUGUGCUCAUCUCAAUCGCAAAUUUUGAAAACUUGUCAAAGAUUCAUUGAAAUGCAGCCUAACGCACGAUUAAAUGCUGUCAGAAAACUCCACGUCUGCCUAAACUGUUUAUCGGACUCACAUGAAGUCAAAAAUUGUAAAAGUAUGUUCAAUUGUUCCAAUUGUAAACAAAGACAUCACUCUAUGAUUCACCGGGAUCAGAGUGAGGAAUUAGCUCAGAUAUCCGACAGCACAGAUAUUACUGAGAUUUCUACUAAAUCUCAUGUGGCCUCUAUUAAGGCCAAUGUUUCAAAUGUGCUUACCAGUCGAAAUAUGCUCUUACGUACAGCCAUGGUGACCAUAUGUCACAACGAGAGUACCAUCACUGUCAGAGCCCUGAUUGAUUCGGGAUCUGAAGCAACCUUCGUAAGCAACAGUCUUCAGAAACGCUUAAAUCUGACAAGCCAAAAGGUCAGCGCCCGAGUUUCAGGAUUGAAUAAUACCGUAUCAGGACGAGCUUAAUCGGUAUGCUCGAUCACAAUUGGCUCGUCUCGUAACAAAAGCUUAAGACUAGAAGCAUAAGCGUUGGUACUGCCAAAAUUUACUGGGCAGCUUCCAUCCAGAUCAAUAAACCAUUCAAUUGUCAAAAGGUUACCCAAUAUCUCCUUAGCGGAUAAUAAUUUCUAUACGAGUUAAAAGGUUGACUUGUUGAUCGGAGCAGAUCUUUACCCGAAAAUGAUACUAAAUGGGGUAAAAUCGAAAAUUUUUGGAUCUCUCGUUGCACAACGUACAGUGUUCGGUUGGAUUAUAACAGGUUCUGUUCCCUCCAAAGAAACGAAGAUAAAUGGCAAAGGCGAUAAACGAAAUUCAACAAUAACUCAACAACAAACACAAAACUAUUUUUGUACUGAAAAUAAUACUAAUUUUGUAUUUAUACAACAGCAACAACAUCAGCAGCAGCAGCAACAACGGGAUCAGACUAACAAUGAUGCGCCCGGCUCAACGAAUCACACCGAUACGCAUGGUGGCGCAUUUCGAGCACCCGGCGUUGGGAUGCAAUCACACAACGGUGACCACGUAUCUGGCAGUAGUUCGUCACAACAACAGAAUUCGAUGCCACACCUGCAGGCAUUCCAAAGCGGCCUCCACUCCCAUCUGUUGCGCCGCCAACAACAUGCCGCAGCCGCAAUGCAACGAGAAUCCGCAAAAGCAAAAAGACGAAAGAAUCGUGAUCCCGAUAAGCUCUUCUUGCUCUCACUCUACAAGGAGAUCACACGUGUGUCCGAAGAGAUACGACUCGAUGUCAAGGGCGAAUUAUACAGGUGCUCAUCAAUCACAACCACAUGCACAAUCCACAGCGUCGUCAACGAGCAAACAAAGUACGACCACCACAAGCGACAAGAUACAAUCGUCACAGCAUGCGCGUCAUAACGCACAGUAUGUAUCAGCAACAAGAGAAAUAAAAGAAAACUGAAAAAGAAGCAUCGCCACAAUCUCAAGUCGAACGCGUAUCGGCUUCAACCGUAGCGUUGCACGCACAACAAUGGAAAUGGAAGAGAAUUCAAUGCCAAUCGGUAUGACGUAUUCGGACCCCUCUCAACCGUGUCAACGGACGUCAUCAGUAACGCAAAGCUCUGACCAACGAGGCCUCUCCCGCAUACCACACGCCCAAGAUCGAGCCAGAUUCGAGUCACCUCGCUGACUUCGGCAUGCUGGUAACUUCCUUUCGGAUUGGCGGCAUGGCAACGAUCGACUGAGACUCUAUUCGUCUCAGCGACAUUGCCCGAACCGAGCGGAAGGCCACUCGUUCCGCCGGCCACCCCAUCCGAAGCAAAGGAGUGGACGAGACGCUCGACGUCAAGCAGAUGCGCGCCGUAUCAUUAAGGAAAGGCACGCAACACUACCUUGGCAGCAAAAACUUGCGGCGUCGUAUAAUAUCGGCACAAUAAAGUGCACUGGCUGCCAAUGCCUCUCACAUUUACCUUACUCGAGUCGUCUCGCCGACCUCGGAAGGCGGUGACUUCUAUGCAAAUUGGCGGCAUGGCAAUGACCGACUGAGACUCGAUUCAUCUCAGUAGCAUUUCCUGGACCGCCCCAGACUCGAUUCGUCUCGACAGCCACCUCAUCUGCAAAGAAGACAUGAAAGAGGAAGUGCAGAAGCCAGUCGCACUUUAGUUUUAAGUAAUUUAUUGUAAACUGCAUUUGCAGUAAUGCUGCAAGGCGGGGAGAAUGUUGACGCCGCCCCCGCCCAAUUUCUUUUGCCAAGUCUGUAUCGGCAGAGCAAGCUCUUCCUCAAAGUUUUUUCGAAGUUUUAAUUCGAGCGCAACUAAACGUUAACUAAAAAGUUGCGCGCUCUCUUCUUUUGCGACAUUCCUGCGAUACAGACGUGGUAAGUGUGUUUCCAAUUUGUUAUAUUAAAAUUAUAUAUAUGAAACCUUUUGUUUUAUUUAAUAUUUGUGGAAUCAUUUGCGCCGACCGUUUCCCCACGGCCAACCACAAUUACGGAACGAGCCACACCGUGCUCCACCACCCGAAUUAUCAACUAUAUUUCAUAAUAGGGAUUUUAACUAAUUUAGGAUGAAUUUAACUUUGAAUUUCCUUCAAAAAACAAUUGUCGAUUUCAUGUUUCUUCGCAAAACCAGCGUUGCCAUGUUCCCAUUUUAUUGAAAAAUUUAUUAAAAAUUAGUACUAGAAUGGUUUAGAGCUGCAUACUAGCACAAGAAAAUUUGCCGCAGGAAAACCCAAACAUUCGCACAAACGGAUAUAAUUUGUAGAUUGAUUGGUGAAAAGACAUUCCAUAAUGUUUUUAGACUGUCCAUAAAUCCGCUGGAUUAUACAGUACCGAAUAUAAAAAUAAUAGUUAUGCCGGAUUUAAUAAUUGGGCGAGUUUACUCAUAAGAAAUUUUUGUAAGUCCGUUACAAGUUAUGAAAUGUAUUGAGAUGAUGUUGAAAGACUGUGAUUCGCAAAACAAAAAAAAAUAUUUUUGCCUGAAAAGCUGUACUAUUAUGUGGAGAUUUUAGACAAAUAUUGCCCGUGGUUCCUUAUGCAUCACGAUCAGUAAUGAUAGAAAUUUGUAUUACUAAUUGGGCAGAAUUCCCGUUUUUUAAUCAUAUAACGUUAACUUCAAAUAUGAGUGCAUACUCCGAAGAGAUGGAAUUCGUUCAAUUUCUAAAGAAAAUAAGCAGUGGUGAGGUAAUGACAGCCAGUUUGUUGAAUACUUAAGGCCUAACUAUAAUGCGCAUACUCUUACGCUGUCGUAACCCGUAUCAAAACAUUAACGAAAAGACUGUCAAAUGCAUAAGGAACGGAGAGUUGACUCUUGAAUGACUAUAAUGUACUUACUUGCAGAAAAGAAAAGUGUAAAUAAACAAUUUGUGUUUUGAUUUAAGUUUCGUUUGGGUUUUGCAAUACAGAAAUGAAUAGAAAAUUAAAAUAUUUAAAAACAAUCUGUUUUAGACGGAAUAUGCAUAUUAACAAAAAUUAGUGGAAUUAAAAAAAAGAGUUCGGUCAUAUUCAUCAUGUUCAUGGCAAAAAAAAGAAAGAGGAAUGUUUUUUUUAAGAUUCCUAGAAACUCCUUUUCUUUGUUUGUGCGAUUGAAAUAAAAGGCAUCUAUUUUGUGGUACAAACAUUUCCUUUUUUUAAUAUUUUCCAUUAAAUUUUGUAUUUCCAAAUUCAAAACGAUGUUUCUGUUGACAAAAAAUGAAAAGAGCUGAUUCCAUACGAAAAACUGCGACCAGUUUCGCAUUUUCCUUAUGCAAAUGACUUUUUAAAAAACUUAACGAAACUAGAUGUAAAGUACAUUAGGGGUAUUCUCUUGCUCUUGCAAAACCCCGGUGCACGGUGCAAGCAUUGCAGAUUUACAACGGCACAACAACAAACACACGCAGAAAAAUAUUUGCAAGGGCUGUGAAAUAUGUCAGACCAAAACCCAUGUAUAUUAGCGUGCAAUGUCACGCAAAAAUAAAAUUGCAACCCUGUUGUAGUUGCCAUUUUACAUAAAGACAUUUUACGUCGUUAAACUGUUGAGAAAGGUAAAUUUUAAUUAGAUUUUAUAAUUUCUAUUUAAAUUAUAAAGUUUUGUUACAGUUUUUUUGUUAAAAAUGCAUGCAGAAGGUGCGCCAAUUCACAAUAGUCAUUUAUGAUAAAUUAUUUAAAUAAAUUGACUGAAUCAGUCGCUCAUAUAUCACUAGAUUCUGCAAUGGGUGCUCUCGUGCCCUUGUAUAUUUCGGUGUAGUAUUUUUGCAAUCUGCAAUCUUGCAAGAGCAAGAGAAUACCCCUUUUAUAGUUGUUAAAUACAAUUUAUAGGGGUAUUCUCUUGCUCUUGCAAAACCCUUGCACGGUGCAAGAAUUGCAGAUUUUUCCACCUAAUGUAACGGCACAACAACAAACACACGCAGAAAAAUAUUUGCAAGCGCUGUAAAAUAUGUCAGACCAAAACCCAUGAUUAUUUUCGUGCAAUGACAUGCAAAAAUAUAAUUGUAACCCUGUUUUAGCUGUCAUUUUACAUAAAAACAUAUUUUGACGUUAAAUAUUUGAGGAAUGUAAAUUUUAAAUAGAUUUUAUAAUUUCUUUUUAAAUUAUAAAGAUUUGUUAAAGCUUUUUUGUGUAAAGCAUGAAUGCAGAAUGUCAAUUCACAAUAACCAUGCACAAUGUUUAUUUUUUUAUGUUAUUCACAUUAUAGUUAGGCUUUUAGUUGAAAUUCCAGCAAAUGUGAUAGGUGUUGAACCUGGCAUAAUACAUAAUAUUUUAGGAGAUAUUUGUGACACCAAUUUAUAGAUGAACGUUAAAGUAAGUUCUUCAAUAAGUUAUAGACAUUGUUAAAAAGUUGUAUUUUCUAAUAAUCAAAUUUUGAACACUGGCGACCCCAGCUUAAAAAAUCGCCACAAAUGAUUUUUGUUAAAAAGCAGUCAUAAAUACUGGCAUCCACAUAUUACACAUAUUUACAUUAAACUCAUUAGGGCGGGUCAUGUCCGCUUUUUAAAAUUUUAAACUACAGAUACUCCAACUUACUUUAACCCAUUUACAACCAAGGAGUCAAAAAAUAAGUUUAUUUAAAAUUUUCAGUUUUUUAUUGAUUUAUACCAUCGCAGAGAUGAACAAAAAAUAUUUUUUUUUUUUUUUAUUACAUAUACGAAAAUUUUGCUGUACCCACACGAGUACAAUGGUCAAAAGUGUAUAAAAUAUUUAUGAGUGGGCUAUUUUAAAACAGUCCCGCUCCACGCACAAAGCAGUACCACAUAGCUCGCAAAUCUACCUGUUUCGUUUACGGCAGACUCUGCAUCUAAGAGGCUUGAGGAUUCUCUUUGGAAAAUGUGCUCCUCCAGCUGUAGAAACACUUGUACCUAACGCGCGCUUAGAAUAUCUUUUCAAUGUUUAGUGUCGUAGGUAGUAUCGUGUAAUGUCACGUUGAAACUCAAGCAAAUCUUUGGUACUAUUAUUCACGUCUUUGUACAGCUUCCAAGCGUUUACCAUUGUGGAGCACAUCAUCGAAGUAAACAGCGGCCACCACCUUUUUUUGCCUCGAAUCCCAAUUUUGUAUACAUUUACGGCCUGAUCAUGUAGAUCAACACCGCCCAUACCUUGGUUGUAAUUUGAAAGUAAAUUUGGCUGAGGUAUACUUAUCUUUUUUUGUUCCAGUUUUGACCAACGCUUUGCGUAUUUCAACGGUUCAACCGUAUCAAAAUUAGUUCUCAUAGUUAGGACAUUAUUGACAUCGACAUCAGGAGGAAUCAUAACGAUAUCGACGUCAUCUGCCUCAUCAUCAUCCGCGAUGUCAGCUAAAGCCUGUGAAAGUUGUUUAUAUCUCUUUCCAUAAAAACACGAAGUGGAAAUAGCCAUCCUAACCAAAAGAUACAAUUUUUUAUUUCACCUACACAUUUUGCCAUUGUACCUAAGCGGGUACACAACUUUUGAAAGGCACAUACCUCAAAUAAGAAUAGGUUUUUCAAAUGGUUUUUUUUUGUAAAAUUGAUCUCUUUAGUCUUAUCUCAUACAACACACAAUUUUAAAACUAACAACUGAGAGAUAAUAGCUCAUCAACAGCAAAAUAAUGACUAAAGACACAAAAUCACCCAAUAUGAAAAAACCGCACAGAAGUUGACACCACAAAAAAUACCGUUAUGAAUUCGCGUGAAGCGAAUGUAUUUUUUUUGUUGUUUCUAGGAAUAAAACUACGCAUAUGAUCAAAAAUUUGUGUGCAAAUACUUAGCAUUGAGUUACGCCACAUGCCUAAACUUGACUGAUUUUCUGUACACAAGCGAGUACAAUGGUUGUAAAUGGGUUAAAGCCCUUACCUAAAGUAAAGUUGUGAGCCUUAAAAUUUUACGCUUUUUCGGCUGUAUUAAAGCGUAACAACAGCCGGAAUUGACCGAUCUGCAAUACCAAGUUCCAUCAAGAUAUAUCAAAAUUAUCAGUUGAACGGGCGGACGGACAAACAAUUCGUCUCAUCAUCCUGAACAAUUUGUAUGUAACCCUUUAUGUAUCUCGAUUAUUUUAUACGUUAUUAAACUACAUCUAUAAAAAAAAAACAAUAAUAAUACAUUAGUAACUUUUUUUCUCU